ACGGGUGAGUAACACGUAGGUAACCUGCCUAUGAGACUGGGAUAACUAUCGGAAACGAUAGCUAAGACCGGAUAACUGGUUUUCUCGCAUGAGAGAAUCAUGAAACACGGAGCAAUCUGUGGCUUAUAGAUGGGCCUGCGGCGCAUUAGCUAGUUGGUAGGGUAAUGGCCUACCAAGGCGACGAUGCGUAGCCGACCUGAGAGGGUGAACGGCCACACUGGGACUGAGACACGGCCCAGACUCCUACGGGAGGCAGCAGUAGGGAAUCUUCCGCAAUGGACGCAAGUCUGACGGAGCAACGCCGCGUGAGUGAUGAAGGUUUUCGGAUCGUAAAGCUCUGUUGCCCUAGACGAACAGCAAGGAGAGUAACUGCUCUUUGUGUGACGGUAUAGGAGAAGAAAGCCCCGGCUAACUACGUGCCAGCAGCCGCGGUAAUACGUAGGGGGCAAGCGUUGUCCGGAAUUAUUGGGCGUAAAGCGCGCGCAGGCGGUUAAUUAAGUUGGGUGUUUAAGCCCGGGGCUCAACCCCGGCUCGCAUCCAAAACUGGUUGACUUGAGUGUAGGAGAGGAAAGUGGAAUUCCACGUGU
RNAcentral lists this ribosomal RNA (587 nucleotides) under uncultured bacterium. RNAcentral's name for it is "bacterial SSU rRNA". It matches the Rfam family "Bacterial small subunit ribosomal RNA", at positions 102 to 676 of the family's 1533-position model. The record is from RNAcentral.